RNAcentral lists this unclassified non-coding RNA (599 nucleotides) under Hevea brasiliensis (rubber tree). Lineage: Eukaryota; Viridiplantae; Streptophyta; Magnoliopsida; Malpighiales; Euphorbiaceae. The record is from RNAcentral.
CAAUUACCUUGUAAUUAAAAACAUACCAAAGUACAUUUACAAUAUGAAGAGAAUUAACCAUCACAACCCUAAACUAUCGUGAAAGAAACCAACCAUGAGAAACCAAACACAUUGGACAUAGAGCUGCUAUAAACCCUACAAACACUCCCUCCUCGUAUUUCUGGAUUCUUAAAAACAACAUUACACAAACACAAAAUUAACAUUCCAACAGUUCAAUUUGCAUGAGGCUGAUGGCGUGACUUCUCCUUCUCCUUCACUUCGCUCCCUUGGCUUCUAUCAUAUUCUUCAUGUUGAUUCCCGUGGAGAAACGAUUUUUUAUUCUCAGAUUCGUCAUCGAUUGACUGAUUCCCUCCAUAAGUUCCUCCAAAUCCUUCUUCAUCGCUUCGAGUUGAGUACCCUUCGCCGAAGGAAUCAGACAUUAUAUCUCCAGUCUCCUUGGGUUUCUUCUGAGAGUCAUCCAUGUCCUUUCGGUUCUGUUCAGGUGCAGUGGCAAAACCAAUCGCUUGACGGGAUCGGAGCUCAGGCGAGCAAAUACGGCGGAGCUGCGGCGGAAGAGGUGAUGUGAGCAAAAUCGGCGGUGGAGUACGGCCGAAUCUGAU